GAGCGUCGCUCAGCUGCCGGGCCGCGCGCGUUCGGGAGCUGCCAAGCCUCGCGAGACCGGGGCUCGCUAGGGCCGCUGGUAGUUACGGGCUCGCAGCCGUGCGUCGUCGUGGGGGCCGCUGUGUGGGCCCGAGUGUCCGGGCUGGUUGCUUCUGUCGCACUGAGAGCGAAGGCUGGGUCAGUGUCUGGCAAGCGGAGUGGUGAGAAUGAGAACCAACCGAAGGUUCAACGGCCCUGCCAUUGGCCCCCUGGCUCUAAACGCAGGCUGUGGUGGAGGCUUAGGCCGACAGGGCGGAGCGGAGGCGGUGAACAUCCUGCUCCCCGGCCAGACACGUAUUAAGAGGAGGCGAAGGGUCAGGCCUCGGGAAGAUGAAAAUUCUCGAGAAGCUGGAAGAAGGCGUGAGUAACACCGACGUGGGGCCGUGCACACCCUUACGCAAAACGAGAAGGCCGUCGGGGCCAGCAUGGAGAGUUUUUCGCGCGUCUGCUCCCUAGGUGCUAUGCAUUCCCAAGGAUGUAAACAUCGAGAAGAUGGAAACUUCAGUUAAUCUUUUGGGUCUAGGAUUGGGGGCAGGAAGGCGGGCGGCGAUCGCGGAAGGCUGCCUGCAGCCAGGCCAAACAGGUUUACAUGCAACUGGUGGAAACCACUGGCAAGGACAACCCAGACGAGUUUUCAUGCGAGCAAGGGAUGGUUUGAGUUUAGAAAUUACUAUAGACUGCGAAAUUCGAGUUUGAUGGAAGAUCCGUUAAAUACCCAGUCACCACCCACGUAUUCCAAGCAACUCUAGCAACUGAUCAGAGCUAGAGGCUUUAACCUCAAUAGGUCUUCACCAUCAAGGAAAUGAACCUGCUUUGGAAGUGCUUGCCUUUGUGUACUUUUGGGGGAAAAGACAGAAAUCCGGGAAACUUAGAGGACGCUAAGGACAGGAUUUCCCUUACAUUUCGUGCCAGUGCCGCAGGUGACAAAAUGAUAAACCCGUUGCUGCUUUAUGAAGACCCCAAAUUCCGCUUGUUUUAUGAAAAAAGAUAUGCUUUCUUGUUUUUCUGGCGAUCACUAAUCUUAUCGUUAACAGCUACCCUCAUUUUGGAUUGGCUUCAUAAUUGUUUUAUUCUUUGAGCCUGGAAUUAUUUAACUCCCCCAAAUCUUGCCUUCAGAGUAUCGCUAAUAGUGUUCCCAAUCACCCAGACUCAUUGUUCCUUGCUCAUCCAUACGUUGUUACUAUGUUUCUUUGUCUGGAACGCACUAGCUAUCUUUAGCCUUUGGAUCAGAGUGUAAUUGAAGCAUUCAUGGGGUAUUACACCAAGCAUGUUUGACCACUUUGCCCAUGGCUUUGAAAAACAAAAAAAAACAAAAAUUCUUUGCUCACUUUAAAAGAAACAUGGUAAUAAUAAAAGAGGUGACGGAUGAUAAGAAAAACCAGAUGCUCUUGAUAAAGCUUGCUGGAAGCUUUGCUAUGAUGUUAUGAAUGAUUAUGAAUGUUCCCUGGAGCUAAAGAAGAAGCUGAAAAAGAAAUCAUAGUCUGCAAAUUGGAUGGGCUUUAAAUUCAUCAAUAUGAAACUUUAAGUUUUGGGCUUUGGCAGUAACAGAGUCUGUAUCAUCUUGAGAUGAUAGAUACACGUCUGUACAUUGAGAGGAAGAAGGCAAAUCUUUGGAACCAGAGAUAAAGAUGAACCUAAGGAAACAAUGCUGUCCAACACCAGGUGUCAGACCUCAUCCAUGCUGCGAUUGAUAUGGAUUCUUUCCUGGAUCGAGGUUUGGCCUUUAAAAAAGAGACUUCAAUAAACUGUAUACCUAUAGAAGAGGUGCGGAACAACUUUCAAAAUAAAGUAGAGGAGCUGAAGAAAGAGAAGGAAGAUACAAACAGUAUUGUGGAUGAAAGAGAUGGGUACAGAAUCUGACUCUGAAGAGUCAGUUCACCUCUGAAUCCAGUAAGGAGGAGGAAAGAAAGAGAGAAGGCAAGAUGCCUCCAGAAGAGCCUGUGAUAUCAGGCAGGGGCACUGAGGCUCUUACUAGAUCUGAAGGAUCUGCCAAGGCCAUAAAUCCAGAAUUGGACAUUUGGAAUCUGACCUUGGAAUUGACUCGGAAGAGAGUAGAGGUGCCUGAGUUGAAGGAAAAGAGAAUCCAGAGGUGGUUUCUUCCAGAUAGCAGUUCAUCCCUUGCCAUCAUUUGCCCCAACAUCACCUUCAUGAUGACCAUCCUUGUCAGCACCAGUCACACAUCUGUAUCAUUUAGUCGUUGAACAAAUAUUUAUUGAACAUAAUCUGUGCAGGAACCUGUGCUAAAUUCUGGGACAUCAUCUCAGGAUCUAAGAUCCUGACAGCCUCGCUCCUGACAUACCCUGCGCUCAGGACCCUCAGCCUGCAGCUCCUUUCCGUUGUCACUGGCAGCUAUGUGUCCGGCACGUACUCCGUUGUUUUUGUCAACUGCCCCAACGAGCAGAUUGCCAGAGAUAUUGCCAGUUUUUGCUCAGUCCCAGAGAUGUGGACCAUGACAGCGGGAGGAGGAGACCGAUUCCAGGUGUUUGGCGAAUUACUGAAAGCAGGGGUGGAGAGAGCAGGGGAACAGAGCUGGAAUCUUGGCUCCAUCUCUUGCUGACUGUGUGACCUCAGGCAAGCUGCUCCUCUUCUCUAAACCUUAGUUUUUGAAUUACCCUUUUUGAGAGGAUUAAAUGAUAUGAUAUCUGUUCAGCCCUUACUCCAGGAACUCAAAUGUAACAGAUGCUCAGUAAAGGUUGUAUCUGAUUUCCACCCCCUCCCCCUCCUUUUGCUUUUCUGGCUGCACCGUGCAGCCUGCGGCAUAUUGGUUCCCGGAGUGGGGGUUGAGCCCAGAGCCAGGGCAGUGAGUCGAGUCCUGACCGCUGAGCUGCUGGGGAAGUUGCCCCUCCUUUAUAGCUGCAGCUCUGAAGAGGGUUAGUGGGGCUGAGGGGUAAUAAGCUUGACUCCCAGCUCCUUUUCUUGCCCUGCAAUUCUGCAUUCUUGAAGUUUGGUGUAGUUACACUGUUUUAUGCGUUGAAUCUGGUCUUUGGGGGCACACAGCUUCCAAACUGAUGGUCACAGGUUAAGUUUGGAUUUGAUUACAUCUUUCCUGCCCCUAACCAGAAUGUCUGUUUUUUUCCUUAUUAAUGUUGCUUUUGGAGAACAGCGCUUGUCUGAAUGAGCACGUGAUUACUCCAGAAAUAGGACCUCAGCUUUGAGCAGCUAAGAAUUGAAAUCCCUUCUGUGCUUCUGGUAUACCCAGAGCCUGUGCUGAACUCACUGGACCCCUGGACUAGCCACUCUGGGUCCUGUCAGGAGCAACUUCAGGUGACAUCUGUGAGGUGCUGGGUAUUGGGAGGAAAAGGGCUCGAAGGCGUGGAUUUUAAAUAGUGGAAAGGCCAGCUGAGGGGAGUGGAUCGGUUUCAGCUUGGAGAGAGGUCUCUGCCGUCUUGGAUCCAGGGUUGCUGAUGAAAAGCAGCAGUGGAUCUCAUUCCUCGAUGCUUUCCUCUCUCACCUUCCUGGUGAUCCUGACAGGGGAGCGCAGGAGCAGCUGCAGGAGUUGCCCGUAGGCAGCGCUGUUUUCACUGCACGUGGGGCAGGCAGGUGGACAUUCUGCAGUCUGAAUCAGUUCCUAAGAAUAAUUUAUCGCCUCAAGUAUUUUCAGAGGGGUCAAAUUUUAUAAUCUUCAAAAUUCUCCAAGUUGCUGGAAGCCAGGGCUAUCCUGGAUAAGAAGCUGGCUGCUUCUGUGAACAUCCUGCCUAAGGCCUCCUCGCUAUACUAUUGGAAUGGAGAAAUAGAAGAAGCAACUGAGGUCCUGUUGUUAAUAAAGACAAAGACUUCCAAGAUCCAUAUGCUCUCCAGCUACAUCAGGUUGGUGCAUCCUUUUGAAAUCCCAGAGCUCUUCAGUCUUCCCAUGGACCAAGGAGAUGUGCACUACUUAAGGUGGCUGGAGGAGGGCAUGGAGCAGGAGUGAGGGGGGCUCUCGUGCCUCCUGCGGCGUGCCCCAAAGAGCUGUCAUUGUCUGUUCUCCGGCUGAAGGGCGGCUUCUGUCUGCCUCCUCGCAUCUAUGAAUUCCAUGCUUUUCUCAGCACAGAGGAGCUAAGUAACUUGUGGAGGGUGAAGGUCCUAGACCCCUGAGGCUGGAAGAGGAUGCUGGGCCAGUCAGGCCAAGCACGGACCCGGUGGAACGUGCCUCUGAGUGCCUCACACGUAAAGGUGGCCAGGAGCGGCAAGGUCACAGUGAGGGUGAGGCUGGUCUGUGUUCAUUGAACCUAAACUGAGUGCCGCGGAUGUUAUUACUCCUGCUUCUGAUUAGGAAUUAUCUGGCGACCUGUCACCCAGAAGUGUGUGGGGGUGAAGGUCACCUUCUAGGGGAGCUGGAAGCACUCUAUCCAGAAGGAUGAAUCGCUAAUGGUGGAAUGUCAGGGACAAGCAGGAUUAUUUCCUCUAGCUGGAGGUGGUGUUGGUUAUUGCUGAGUCCUGAGGAAGUGGGCCUGGGAAAGGGCUUCAUGAAUGCAGGUAGGACUGGGGAGGGGCGGGCUUAGACACAGUCUCAAGGAUUGAGAGUUGGUCUUGACUCUUUCCUAGCCCGAAGGUGGCAGACCUCAGUAAGCUGUGGUCCCUUGCUCAGCAGAGACAUGGGUUCUGAGCCCACCACACUGACCUUCCCAUGUGCGCACGGAAACCGAGCAUCCUAAAGUGGGAAGAACCCGGGAGAGCUGCUGGAUCAGAACCCCAGGGGUUCACAGGAGGGACCCUGCUGCUGCUGCUGCUGCUGCUGCUAAGUCACUUUAGUCAUGUCAGACUUUGUGUGACCCCAUAGACGGCAGCCUACCAGGCUCCGCCGUCCCUGGGAUUCUCCAGGCAAGAGCACGAGUGGGUUGCCAUUUCCUUCUCCAGUGCAUGAAAGUAAAAAGUGAAAGUGAAGUCACUGAGCCGUGUCCGACUCUCAAUGACCCCAUGGACUGCAGCCCACCAGGCUCCGCUGUCCCUGGGAUUUUCCAGGCAGGAGUGCUGGAGUGGGGUGCCACUGCCUUUUCCAGGAGGGACCCUGAGGGCUCCUCAUACUUCAGCCAGUGCACCCAUGCUUUUAUUAUUAAUUUUUAUGUAUUGAGCUAAGUUUUUGUUGUUACAAGUUUGUAAACCAGUAGCCUGAGCCAGUCUUACAGAUUUUGUAAGGUUCAAGACCCUUGAGGCUGGAAAAGGAUGCGGGGCCAGUCAGGCCAAGCAAGGACCCAGUGGAAUCUAUAAAGCCAGUUUUAUAGAUGACUGAAGGGAAUUGAACUGCCCUGAGGUCCAGAAAAGGGGUGGGUUGUGUUACAGAGGGGAGAACCAAGGCUGCUCAUUCCAUCGGCUGCGCUCCUAACCCUGCUCCCUGGGGCUGGUGGACCCCCGGGGAGUGAGAGGAGAGCCUGACCUAGGCCCCCUCACGGCUCUGCUGCAGGGUGACCCCCCUCAGGGCCCUUCAGAGCCUUGCCCCAGCUCACUCUGCCACCUCCACUCUCCUCCCCUGCCUGGACCUGUGGGUGGCUCUGGUGUGCCAGGCUGGUGCCCUGCCUGAGCACCCUCUGCGCCGUCUGGAGGAGCGUGGCUGCCCCUCUGCAGGCCUGGCGUCCAGUUGGAGGCAGUCGCCCCUGCCCUGGCGUCCUGUUGCCCCCGUGCAUCCUGGCCCGUCUCCGGGAUUGUGCGUUGCGCCAGGGGAGGGGCGUGCUGACAGCAACUUGGUCUCCUGUACACAGUUUGGCAUAUAUUUUCCAAAUUGAUGUUUCAAGGAUUUGAGUAACUAAAGCUUUCUCUACUUUCCACAGUUACCUUCUCAUUUACCAGGUUGGCAAAAUCCAAUUAUUUUUCCUUGAACUUCCUUAAUGUGAGAUUAAUUCCAGAGAUUUUCCUGUCUCUGACUGCCAUUGGUUCAUUUUUUGUGCUGAGUGUGCUUUGAAAACUGUUUUUUGGUGGCCUGCCUUAGCCUCAGUCACAGCUGACUAUAGGAAAUAACACCAGCUCUCUCUGCAGGUACUGUCCUAGGUCUUAACAUUUAUCCUUGUAAUCCAGGUUACCCUCAUUUUGCAGUUGAAACCUUAGAUUGGAGAGCAGAGACGCUUAAAAUAAGUAUGAAAGCAGGUGUCUGACUCUAAAUCUGAUGCUCUUACAGUCUCUUUCAAAGAGGCUGGCUAUAUCUCUCUGUAGGCCAGAGAACCUGCUGUAGCCAUCUCUAAGGAAGAGCUGUUCAUUCCUAAAACAUCCACCUUAACAGUGUGGUGAGUUGGUAUGUUGUGUGGUUUCCUUCUCCCCACAGGUCUGGAGGCCGGUGGUGAUGUCUUCAUUCUGUAGAUGAGGGAACAGCUUGAGAGGCUUGCCCAGCUCUACCACACUGCCCUCAAUGUGCUGUGGGCGCGGGGGCUAGACAUCAGGGUUUCCACCCGGGAAUUCCUUCCCAGCACUUCUCAGGAAGCAUGGUUAUGACUCCAGAACCCUGGGAGAAUCAAUCAGUUGAGGAAAUGAGAAGUAAAAAAGUCUCCAUGAAUACUGAAGCUUAAAAGCAUAAAGGUGCUACUGGUUUGAAAAAGUAGAGCAAGAAGCGGUUGCUUAUACAGAGUUGAGUGUAGUUACCUAACCAGGACAGGAGUGUAGAAGAGAAGUGGUUUCCAUCUCCUUUCGCCUGGGAUUGUCUAGCCCUGUCCACUGCAAACCCUGAGUUACUCCUGCAAGUGAGAAAUGUAUACAUGCAGUAUGCUUUACACAAAUCCUGUGAGUGGUGUUCUAAGAAAUAAGCUUUGGAAGCAAAAUAAAUUCUUAA
Molecule: RNA transcript, 6771 nt
Organism: Budorcas taxicolor (takin)
Lineage: Eukaryota; Metazoa; Chordata; Mammalia; Artiodactyla; Bovidae
Gene name: protein CutA homolog
Exons: 8
Source: RefSeq, a predicted model, not a curated record